Molecule: ribosomal RNA, 387 nt
Filed under: uncultured bacterium
Lineage: Bacteria
Description: bacterial SSU rRNA
Rfam family: Bacterial small subunit ribosomal RNA
Source: RNAcentral
GACGAACGCUGGCGGCGUGCUUAACACAUGCAAGUCGAGCGGUAAGGCCCUUUCGGGGGUACACGAGCGGCGAACGGGUGAGUAACACGUGGGUGACCUGCCCUCAGCUCUGGGAUAAGCCUGGGAAACCGGGUCUAAUACUGGAUAUGACUCCAUGACGCAUGUUGUGGGGUGGAAAGCCUUGUGCGGCUGAGGAUGGGCCCGCGGCCUAUCAGCUUGUUGGUGGGGUGAGGCCUACCAAGGCGACGACGGGUAGCUGGCCUGAGAGGGCGACCGGCCACACUGGGACUGAGACACGGCCCAGACUCCUACGGGAGGCAGCAGUGGGGAAUCUUGCGCAAUGGGCGAAAGCCUGACGCAGCGACGCCGCGUGAGGGAUGACGGCCU